RNAcentral lists this long non-coding RNA (988 nucleotides) under Mus musculus (house mouse). RNAcentral's name for it is "long non-coding RNA chr8:71224492-71225480". The record is from RNAcentral. Lineage: Eukaryota; Metazoa; Chordata; Mammalia; Rodentia; Muridae.
UUAUGAAUAUAAUCAAAGUGGUAAAGCCUUUUCAGGACACAAUAGUCUCCAAAUGCAUGAAAGAAAAAAUACUGGAAAGAAACCCUAUAAAUACCCUAUAAAUAAAUGUGGUAAAACCUUUGUAGUUCACAAAUAUCAUCGAAACCAUGGAGAACACAUACUGGAGAAAACCCCUAUGAAUCCAACAAUGAAGUAAAGCUUUCACAACAGGUCAUCUCUGAAGUCAUAAAAGAAUACAUACUGGAGAGACAGUGACAUGUUUCCUCCAGUAGGGGCGGCAUUUACUAAGUCUUUCCAAAUGAUACCACAAAUUGGGAAUUGUAAGUAAGCCUUUAGGUGCCUCAUCAUCUAGGUUAUACAAAUGAAGGUUUGCAUGAGAAAAACAGUGAUGAAUGUAAAUUGUUUGUUUAGUGGUUUGUUUUAAUUUUAUUGCCCUUCAUUUGCUUAUAUAAAUUUUUCUGCUAAAAUGUAUAGAAUGGGAUUCCCAUCAUCUAAGUGGUCAAUUGUUCAUUUCAUUUCUGUGAUCACACUUUUCAAGUCAGUGUGUCUACAAAAGAGUGGAGGAUGUCGUUACUAGGUUCUUUUUUCAUGUUUUCAUGAAUUCCAUUGAGAUGUUGUUUUUAAUCCAGCCUGGCUUGGAUAUCAAUAAUUAGUCAAGGCUACAUUUCAAGUCAUGAUUCUCAUGUGUCAGCCUCCUGAAUACCAGUCAUCGCCAGUGUAUGCUGUUUUGUCAACACAUUUUAGUAAUGCUUAUGUUAAAAUUCUUAAUAGAAGAUAAUAUAAGAAACAUGAAAUACCUUAUGUAUGUAUUUAAAGCAGCAUUUUCAUGUAUUUGUUAGAGAUAUUUUAAGGUAGGAUAGUUAACAUUCAUGUUUAUAUCUUGUAACAUUGGUUGAUAUUCUAUGGAUGUCUUUCUUAGGGCUUCCAUUUUUGUGAAGAGACAGACAGCAUGACCAAGAGAACCCUUAUAAUAAAAAACAUUUAAUUG